This 56-nucleotide small nuclear RNA is filed under the name Xenopus laevis (African clawed frog). Its description in RNAcentral is "U7 small nuclear RNA". It matches the Rfam family "U7 small nuclear RNA". From Rfam's summary of the family: Animal histone pre-mRNAs are spliced by a different mechanism than nuclear pre-mRNAs and self-splicing introns. This processing involves the U7 snRNP, which contains only one RNA species: U7. The 5' end of U7 RNA is thought to base-pair to a conserved spacer element downstream of the cleavage site in histone pre-mRNA. The record is from Rfam by way of RNAcentral. Lineage: Eukaryota; Metazoa; Chordata; Amphibia; Anura; Pipidae.
AAGUGUUACAGCUCUUUUACUAUUUGUCUAGCAGGUUCUUACUCGGUAGAGCCAAA